Long non-coding RNA from Passer domesticus (house sparrow), 4403 nucleotides. RefSeq lists it as uncharacterized. The record is from RefSeq and is a predicted model, not a curated record. The transcript is spliced from 9 exons. NCBI's taxonomy places the organism in Eukaryota, Metazoa, Chordata, Aves, Passeriformes, Passeridae.
CACAGAUGGAGGCGGACGCGCAGCCCGGGUUAAAAGACGCAGCAAAUCCUGCGUGGUGCUUCCUAGGAUCGGGGGGGCAGCUGCUGCUGGCUGUGAGUGCCCUUGCAGUUCAGCUGGAACCAGGACAUGUUGGUUCCAUUGCUGCACUGUUAGAUUCUCCCUCUUCAAGUCAAGGGGAGAGCUUCUCACCAGCUGCUCAGCCUCAUCUACCACAGCCAGCAAGGUAUUGGGGACAUCGAAGGACAUGUCCCUUGUCUGCUCCAGGGUGGCCUCAAUGGCCCUGAGCUGGCAGUGCAGCUCCCAGGAGAACACAGUGGCUUUGUGACACGCGGCCACCAAGUCCCCCAGGAGCCCCAGGGCCUCCUCCGCCUGCUGUUUCCUCUUGGUGGCUGCCAUCCCUCGGAUGGUGAACACCACAGCCUCUCUCCUGGCCAUGGUGGCCAUCUGUUGCCAUCUUACUGCAAAGGUUUUGUACCUUCUUGGUGAUCCCUCAUGGGCAGCUCCUCACAGCAUUGACUCCUUCUUCUCAGUACAGCCAACAAACUCCAUCUAACUUCUCGAGCAGCUAACCUACUCUUUUACAAUUCCCAUCCUAAUUGGAUCUAGUGGCCUAUUAAGGGCAGGCCUGUUCCUAAUGCUUGAUAAUUUGCACAGCUGUAGCUCCUUAGGAGUGAGAUUACCUUCAUCACUGUUAUAAAUAAAAAAUGCGAAUUAGCCAAUUUUAAUAAAAAUAUGAGAAAUAAAAUUUAUUUCACGACCAUAAAAACAGUCUCGACAGCCACCACCGAAACGGCCAGCAUAUCACCCCCGGGAAGUGAUACGGGUGAACGUGAGGAAAGGACCAACUGGUACCUAGAGCUCCCCAUCCACACCUACUGCUUGCAAGGGGCAGCUGCUGCUGGCUGUGAGUGCCCUUGCAGUUCAGCUGGAACCAGGACAUGUUGGUUCCCUUGCUGGUUCCAUUGCUGCACUGUUAGAUUCUCCCUCUUCAAGUCAAGGGGAGAGCUUCUCACCAGCUGCUCAGCCUCAUCUACCGCAGCCAGCAAGGGUUUUUUUCAAGAUUUGGUGAGGGGCUUCCUCAUUUGCAUACUAGCUCUGACGUCGCCUCCCCACCACUACCUGCAGCCUUCAGGUGCCAAUCCUCUGGGAAGCCGCAGGGGGACAAUUGGGCUGAUUUCUAACCAUUAACAGGUAACUGAAGAAAAAUUAUUAACAACAGGUGAUUACAACAUGAAGUUAUUAACAACAGCAAUUGGUUUAACUUGUUAACUCUACAACUUAAAAAAAGGGACAACUUUUCUACUCAUAACAUCUCAUCAGUAGAGGAAGUGAUCCCUGAUAGCAAAUCAAACAAUAGUUGCAUCUGAUGAUUGGUUAUGCCUAAAUAUGAUUGAGUCCAACCUAUUGAACCAACCAAUUUCUGUACAUCAGUAACAGUUUUAACACCAAUGUCUAAUUUCACAGGUUGAGGCAUAACUUGAGUCACCAACAUCCCUAGAUAUUUCCAAGGCAUGUAUUCCUGUACUUUCUCUGAGGCAAUGAUCAGACCAAAGGCUUUCAAAUUUGUAACAGCACAUUGUUUAAGAGCUGAUAACUGUUUGUUGUUCAGAUGCCAACAAGAUAUCAUGCAUCUAAUGAUAACAAUAGCAGUUAUUAUAAUUGCUCCUGCACUUUUGACAAGGCCUGUGCCCACGUACCAUUGACAAAUAGUUGUAGAGUUUUUCAGGCCUUGGGGGAGUACCCUCCAUUGAUAUCUUUUGUUGGGUUCAGCAUGAUUUGUGGAAGGCACAGUAAAAGCAAAAACAAUUUCUUUGUCUUGCACAGCCAGUGGAAUAGUAAAGAAACAAUCUUUCAAAUCAAUGACAGCUAUUUGCCAUUCCUGUGGAAUCAUUGUAGGUGUAGGAAGGCCUGGUUGUAAAGCUCCCAUUGUUGCCAUUACAGCCUUUGUCUGCUGUAAAUCAUGUAAAACUCUCCAUUUUCCUGAUUUCUUUUUUAUUACAAAACCAGGGGUAUUCCAGGGGCUGAAUUAUUCUUCAGUAUGUCCUGCUUGCAAUUGUUCUGUGACUAAUUCUUGCAGGGAUGUAAGCUUUUUGGUAGUAAGGGGCCACUGGUCAACCCAGACAGGUUUAUCUGUCAACUGUGUCAAGGCUACAACUGGAUGUUCACCGCCCUGCAUCACAGUGGCCCCUAUUAAAAAUCCGUAGUAAUUUUGACACCUCAUUGAGGUAAGCAAUCUCGUCCCCACAAUCUUUGAGGAGCAUCAGCAACGUGGGGUCUGAUGUUAACUUGUUGGUGACACGAUCCGUCCUAAGGACGUGAUUCGUGAAGGUUCUUUUUCUCUAAUCUCAAUGUUCAAAACCUGACACGACAAGGCGAUUUUGCAGUAAAAUCAAAACAGAUAUACUUUUAUUGAAUAGCCACAGCAAAGACGCGUUAGAGAGAAGGGGAAUGAAGAAAAGGGAAAGAAUAAGGAAAAGAAAAGAAGAGAGGAAAGGCAAGGCGGUGUAUAGCUACCAGACGUGUAGAUGACAAAGUCCCUCAAAGUCCGGUCGACGAAGAGCCUGUCGUCUUCAUGUCAGGGGAGAUCUCCAGGGUAUCAGUCAGCUCUAACCUCUUUUAUAGUCCUUUUGAAUGGGGCAAGGGGACACAUUUCAAAAUAGUCUAUUGAGAAAGGGUACAAAAAGUCUAUCAGUAGUCCGUCAGCAGCAGGCGUCGUACAAAAAGUCCAUCAGCAGUAGGCAAGAACCAUUGUAUUCUCGGUCCAGUGGUCGCUUGCAAAACUUGCUUUGGUCCCCAUGCACGCCUUCCCUCACCCUACAGUAGGGAUUUCAGUCUCAAUCCUUUUGGGAAGAAGAGGGGGCUUUUCCAUGUAGGGGUCGCAUGUCUCAGUCCUUGAGGGGAGAACCUUCUCCCAUCUCAGUCCAUCUGUCACGGUGGUUGAUGUACAGUGAAUGGAGGGUCUUUUAGUGGUGACCACCAAGAAGGUCAUUCCAGAGAGAAAGUCCAGCCAAGUCAGAAGGGUGGAGAAAUUCCAGGACUAGCGUUGCUAGGUGAUGCAGGCGAAGGAGAGCACACUGCCCCUUCUUGGGUGCAGUGUUCCAUGAGUUGAGCAAACACACCCAUAGACAAUAAUUUGGCUUGGUGGACCAGUCAGACCUGGAUUUUCAGAACAGGAUCUUUUCCUUUCCCCGGUGGUCUUGGCUUUCAUGAUGGUCGAGAGGCAAAAAAUGAGGGAAGUUUCGGACAGACACUCACAGUUGGCCAUCAGGAUGUUUCACAUUAAUUACAAUGGCUGACAAGCCACCUGUUGUAGCACCACCCAACCCUAUAAGUCCAAAAUAUGCAUGAGUGAGAGGCCACGAUUGAGGCCAACAAAGUCGCGACAGUAUUGUAACAUCUGCUCCAGUGUCAAUCAAACCUGUUACUGAUAUGGUUCUUGGAUGAUAUCCACUGGCUGUGAGGAUGCAUGUCUUUUCCAGAUGGUUUUCUGUUACUUUCUCAGUCCAGAACACUUGAGGUACCCCUGUUGAUCCAAAACUUCCUGUGCCACGACUUUGGUCCACUGUAUUUGGAACAGAACCCACAAAAGCUAUAGCAUUUUGAUGGAGGUCUUAGAACUGCAGCAAGAGCUGCCAUGUUAUGCUCUACUGAAUCAACUUUUGAGCAAGCAGUUACCAUUUCAGACAAUGUGGGCUCCCCAGAUGUUCAUCCCUUAAAAAGCCCAGCAGAGCCGCAUCAGAAGACUGCGCCAACCUAUGGAGUCUUCUCGCCUGUAUGCUUGGAAUAAGCACCACCGAUUUGAUGAUACCCAGACCACCAUCCUUAAAACUCGAAUACAAGAUGGCAUCACAUGUACUCAGUGGAAGAUGAAGCCAUUCCUUGACCGCCUUACGAAUCAACAGGUCAAGGGAUUCCAGAAGGCCCACGCUCACCUCGUAAUCAGGCCUUCAAAUACGAUGUUAUCUGUCUCCGCAUGCGGAGGGAAAUUCGCCAAGCUACCAAACUCUCCAGUUGUAUCCCAUUGUAUCUUAAAGUGAUCGUGGACAACCCCAGAUGGUAACUGGAACCACACAGUUUCCGUACUGUCCAGAAUAAUAGGUGCCAGAUGCCUUCUAUGCAACUCGUACAACACCUGAAAACUGAGAAAUUUCCCUCUUUUUACCGCCCUUUUACGCAUCCAAUUAGUUGCUGUUUUGGAUGCACUCCGACCACGAACCAUCUGCCUUUUUCAACCCCUGCUAGAUCUCAUAUUUUGGCCUGGCACACCCAGGCUAUUUCGAAACUCAUCAAAACCCUCAUUCACCAGCUUUGGCAGAUUUUGACCCUUCAAUGCCUUCUUGAAGACUUCAUGAUACCUGGCAAAUAUGCCAGGCAAUAAACCAGUUUUGAUGGCAUCACGGUAA